CACUUGGUCCAGUAUGACGCAGUUAGUGAGGUGAAACCGAGACGCGUCAAUUGCUGGUUGAAAACUAUUUCCAAACUAUUUCCAAAUAAGGGAGGACUCAUGAAAUGUAAUAUGGGGUAC
RNAcentral lists this small nuclear RNA (120 nucleotides) under Marchantia polymorpha subsp. ruderalis. RNAcentral describes it as "U4 spliceosomal RNA". It matches the Rfam family "U4 spliceosomal RNA". From Rfam's summary of the family: U4 small nuclear RNA (U4 snRNA) is a component of the major U2-dependent spliceosome. The structure of U4 snRNA from yeast and human has been reported. The record is from Rfam by way of RNAcentral. Lineage: Eukaryota; Viridiplantae; Streptophyta; Marchantiopsida; Marchantiales; Marchantiaceae.